Molecule: ribosomal RNA, 490 nt
Filed under: uncultured bacterium
Lineage: Bacteria
Description: partial 16S ribosomal RNA
Rfam family: Bacterial small subunit ribosomal RNA
Source: RNAcentral
AUUGAACGCUGGCGGCAGGCCUAACACAUGCAAGUCGAACGGUAACAGGAAGCAGCUUGCUGCUUUGCUGACGAGUGGCGGACGGGUGAGUAAUGUCUGGGAAACUGCCUGAUGGAGGGGGAUAACUACUGGAAACGGUAGCUAAUACCGCAUAACGUCGCAAGACCAAAGAGGGGGACCUUCGGGCCUCUUGCCAUCGGAUGUGCCCAGAUGGGAUUAGCUUGUUGGUGGGGUAACGGCUCACCAAGGCGACGAUCCCUAGCUGGUCUGAGAGGAUGACCAGCCACACUGGAACUGAGACACGGUCCAGACUCCUACGGGAGGCAGCAGUGGGGAAUAUUGCACAAUGGGCGCAAGCCUGAUGCAGCCAUGCCGCGUGUAUGAAGAAGGCCUUCGGGUUGUAAAGUACUUUCAGCGGGGAGGAAGGGAGUAAAGUUAAUACCUUGACUCAUUGACGUUACCCGCAGAAGAAGCACCGGCUAACUCCGUG